Molecule: transfer RNA, 82 nt
Filed under: Ixodes scapularis (black-legged tick)
Lineage: Eukaryota; Metazoa; Arthropoda; Arachnida; Ixodida; Ixodidae
Rfam family: tRNA
About the family: Transfer RNA (tRNA) molecules are approximately 80 nucleotides in length. Their secondary structure includes four short double-helical elements and three loops (D, anti-codon, and T loops). Further hydrogen bonds mediate the characteristic L-shaped molecular structure. tRNAs have two regions of fundamental functional importance: the anti-codon, which is responsible for specific mRNA codon recognition, and the 3' end, to which the tRNAs corresponding amino acid is attached (by aminoacyl-tRNA synthetases). tRNAs cope with the degeneracy of the genetic code in two manners: having more than one tRNA (with a specific anti-codon) for a particular amino acid; and 'wobble' base-pairing, i.e. permitting non-standard base-pairing at the 3rd anti-codon position.
Source: Rfam by way of RNAcentral
GCAGUCGUGGCCGAGUGGUUAAUGCGGUGGACUAGAAAUCCAUUGGGGUCUCCCCACACAGGUUCGAAUCCUGUUGACUGCG